UCAGUUACAGCACUGGUUUUUGACAAGCUGGGCUGAAAGUCCAGGAAUGAACAAAACCCAAAGGAUCUCUGGUUGGAUAAAAAGAGCCUCUCCCUUUCCAGAGGGGACUUUGUUGUUGGGGAGCUGUUCAGACUGUGACAGACGUCUGCUAGAGUGUUCAAAGAAGCUAAGCCUGCCUGGCCCAUUAGCACAGGAUGGUAGGGCUUUAGUGGAAGUCUAUUUGCAUACUGAGUCCAGCGAGUAUGGGGACUACAGGAAAAGAAAUUAACAGGAAGAAGUGAACAGAGAGGGGACCAUACUUACAGAUGAAGGACAAAGGACUAAGGCUAAUAAAUCUAGGGAUGACAAAUUGCCAGUUCUCCUGGGACUGGAUCCGCAAACAGGGAAACUUGCCACUGAUCCCAAAGAGUCCAGAAACUGAGAGCAAGGACCUAUUAGUUCAAGAAGGUAUUUAAGCAAGUGAGUAGUCCUAUUUAAGUCAGUGAGACUACUCACAUGCUCAAAGUUAGACACAUGCCUGAGAGACUGG
Molecule: long non-coding RNA, 529 nt
Organism: Mauremys reevesii (Reeves's turtle)
Lineage: Eukaryota; Metazoa; Chordata; Testudines; Geoemydidae
Exons: 3
Source: RefSeq, a predicted model, not a curated record